RNAcentral lists this RNase P RNA (379 nucleotides) under uncultured Mesocricetibacter sp. RNAcentral describes it as "Bacterial RNase P class A". It matches the Rfam family "Bacterial RNase P class A". Rfam says of the family: Ribonuclease P (RNase P) is a ubiquitous endoribonuclease, found in archaea, bacteria and eukarya as well as chloroplasts and mitochondria. Lineage: Bacteria; Pseudomonadati; Pseudomonadota; Gammaproteobacteria; Pasteurellales; Pasteurellaceae. The record is from RNAcentral.
AGUCGGUCAGGCAAUCGCUGGUUUAUUGAAGCCCCUAAGUGCCGUAAGGCGAGCUGGUGGGACAAGUAAACCGGAGGAAAGUCCGGGCUACACAGGGCAGAGUGCCGGGUAACGCCCGGGAGGCGCGAGCCUACGACCAGUGCAACAGAGAGUAGACCGCCGUUUUUCACAAAACGGUAAGGGUGAAAGGGUGUGGUAAGAGCGCACCGCGUGAGUGGUAACACUUCACGGCAUGGUAAACUCCACUUGUAGCAAGACCAAAUAGGAACUCAAUGGGUGUGCCCACUCAGAGUUCGGGUAGGUUGCUUGAGCGGCGGAGUAAUCCGUCGCCUAGAUGAAUGAUUGUCCACGACAGAACCCGGCUUAUCGACCGACUCAA